GCUUCUCGCUGGAGUGCGCACCGAGCGGCAGUGACUUCGCCGCUGCUGUAGUUCCCCGGCUGGAUGCGGUGACUGGUGCCAGUGCUCAGGCGCCCGCUGCCCUUGACCUCCCGCCCCGCGAGCCCUAACUCAGCGCAGGAGGACCGGCUGCCGCCGCCGCCGCCGCCAGAGCCUUGGCUGCCCAGUUGCCAGUCCUACCACGGUCGGAGGUAACCUUCCUGGCUCCAGUCACAUGGCCAGAUAAGGUGGUGUGUGUGGGCAUGAAUUAUGUGGACCACUGCAAAGAACAGAACGUGCCCGUGCCCAAGGAGCCCAUCAUCUUCAGCAAGUUUGCCAGCUCCAUCGUGGGGCCCUAUGAUGAGGUGGUCCUCCCACCACAGAGCCAGGAGGUAGAUUGGGAAGUGGAGCUGGCCGUGGUCAUUGGAAAGAAAGGCAAGCACAUCAAGGUGAAGUGGAAAAGGUGGGCUCCCAGGCCAGAGUGCAGCAGAGUCCCCAGCUCCUGCCUCUCCUAGUUCUGACCUCGCUCACCAACACAUGGUGCCAGCUGUCCCUGACACUAGGAAGCAGUCAGCCUCCUUGCUCCCUGACACUGCCUUUCCCUUCACCCACCUUUGGCUGGCUCUGGCUACUAACAUGGGAUAACAGCUUUGAGAUCCCUUGCCACAGGUGUUGGUGUCACCCAUGAUCUAUCCUCCUGUAUGGCCAAAUCCCCUGCCCCCAUAGGCCACAGAUGCCAUGGCCCACGUGGCCGGCUUCACUGUGGCUCAUGACGUGAGUGCUCGUGACUGGCUAACAAGAUGCAAUGGGAAACAGUGGCUGCUGGGAAAAACCUUCGACACCUUCUGCCCUCUGGGCCCUGCCUUGGUGACCAAGGACAGUGUAGCAGAUCCACACAACUUAAAGAUCUGCUGUCGAGUGAAUGGGGAAGUGGUCCAGAGCAGCAACACCAACCAGAUGGUAUUCAAGACAGAGGACCUGAUAGCCUGGGUGUCCCAGUUUGUUACCUUUUACCCAGGGGAUGUCAUCCUGACUGGGACCCCCCCACCUCCACCCAGGUGUCGGUGUAUUCAGGAAACCUCCUGUCUUUCUCAAGGUCUCUGAAGGUCCAGACAGCACUGAUGGCGAGCUUUGGGUCCGCACACUCUGGAAAGAAGAGAGAAGUGAAGGCUCUAGGGGGCAGCAGCCACCAGCAAACACCACUGCCUGCAGGAGCCUGGGCUGACUGGUUGGGACUCACCGAAGAUCCCUUCUUCCUGGGCGGUGGCCUGCAGGAACUGGAACAGCUGCUCUGUGUAGCCCAACUCUGCAGAAGAGAGAAGACCUAGACCUGGCACCCAGCACAGACACAGCCUGCCUCGAGGACUGCAAGGGAACAAGGGCCUCACCAGUAUCGGGCAGCUGGCCCUGGCGGAGGAAGGCGGCAGCCUGUGCAAAGGCCUUGAGCAGCGGGCUGAGCAGGCGGCAGAGGAAAAGAAAGAAAUCUGGGCAGUGUGACUGCUGGCUGAGCUGGAGGGGACAGGCCGGGGUGAGUGCAGCUCCCCACCGCCUCCCUACCACCUCCCUCCAGGGGCAGCUUUUUGAAACACACCCUGAAGUACCGGCCGUCAGCCUCUCCGAAGUCAUCACUGUCACUAUCAGUAAAGUCCCCACUCGGUUUCCACA
Long non-coding RNA from Homo sapiens (human), 1662 nucleotides. Lineage: Eukaryota; Metazoa; Chordata; Mammalia; Primates; Hominidae. The record is from Ensembl.